RNAcentral lists this ribosomal RNA (484 nucleotides) under uncultured bacterium. RNAcentral describes it as "partial 16S ribosomal RNA". It matches the Rfam family "Bacterial small subunit ribosomal RNA", at positions 30 to 507 of the family's 1533-position model. The record is from RNAcentral.
AUUGAACGCUGGCGGCAGGCCUAACACAUGCAAGUCGAGCGGAUGAAGGGCGUUCGCUUCUGGAUUCAGCGGCGGACGGGUAAGUAAUGCCUAGGAAUCUGCCUGGUAGUGGGGGAUAACGUCCGGAAACGGGCGCUAAUACCGUAUACGUCCUGAGGGAGAAAGUGGGGGAUCUUCGGACUUGACGCUAUAUGAUGAGCCUAGGUCGGAUUAGCUAGUUGGUGGGGUAAAGGCCUACCAAGGCGACGAUCCGUAACUGGUCUGAGAGGAUGAUCAGUGACACUGGAACGGAGACGAGGUCCAGACGCCUACGAGGGGCGGCAGUAGGGAAGAUUAGACAAUGGGCGGAAGCAUGCUCCAGCCGUGCCGCGUGGUGGAAGAAGGUCUUCGGAGUGUAAAGCACUUUAAGUUGGGGGGAAGGACAGUAAGUUAGUACCUGGCUGUGUUGACGGUACCAACAUAAUAAGCACCGGCUAACUUCGUG